UGGUCAAGUUAUUAAGGGUGCAGGGCGGAUGCCUUGGCACUAGGAGCCGAUGAAGGACGUGAUAAGCUGCGAUAAGCUUCGGGGAGUUGCACGUAAACUUUGAUCCGAAGAUUUCCGAAUGAGGAAACUCACUUAGAGUAAUGUCUAAGUAUCAUUAAGUGAAUACAUAGCUUAAUGAGGGGAACUCAGGGAACUGAAACAUCUAAGUACCUGAAGGAAGAGAAAGAAAUUCGAUUCCGUAAGUAGCGGCGAGCGAACGCGGAUUAGCCCAAACCAAUAAAGUUUUCUUUAUUGGGGUUGCGGACAUAUCAUAACGAAGAGGUAUCGUAAUUGAAGAGGUUUGGAAAGACCCACCACAGAAGGUAAUAGUCCUGUAUGUUAAACGAGAAGACUUUAGAUAUGAUCCAGAGUACCACGGGACACGUGAAACCCUGUGGGAAGCAGGAGGGACCACCCUCCAAGGCUAAAUACUACCUAGUGACCGAUAGCGUAUAGUACCGUGAGGGAAAGGUGAAAAGAACCCCGGGAGGGGAGUGAAAUAGAACCUGAAACCCUGCACUUACAAGCUGUGGAAGCACAUUUCUUGUGUGACCGCGUACUUUUUGUAGAACGGGCCAACGAGUUACGUUAAGUAGCAAGGUUAAGCACUUAAGGUGCGGAGCCGUAGCGAAAGCGAGUUUUAACUGAGCGUUCAGUUACUUGACGUAGACCCGAAACCGGGCGACCUACCCAUGAGCAGGAUGAAGCGAAAGUAAAAUUUCGUGGAGGUCCGAACCCACGAGCGUUGAAAAGCUCGGGGAUGACUUGUGGGUAGCGGUGAAAUUCCAAUCGAGCCCGGAGAUAGCUGGUUCUCCCCGAAAUAGCUUUAGGGCUAGCCUCAAGGUGAGAGAUACGGAGGUAGAGCACUGAAUGUCCUAGGGGGUAUUGCACCUACCGAAGACUAUCAAACUCCGAAUGCCGUCAUCUUAUACUUGGGAGUCAGACUGUGGGUGAUAAGAUUCAUAGUCGAAAGGGCAACAGCCCAGAUCGUCAGCUAAGGUCCCUAAAUGUAAGUUAAGUGGUAAAGGAUGUGGGAUUGCACAGACAACCAGGAUGUUGGCUUAGAAGCAGCCACUCAUUCAAAGAGUGCGUAAUAGCUCACUGGUCGAGUGAUCCUGCGCCGAAGAUU
This 1168-nucleotide ribosomal RNA is filed under the name Clostridioides difficile. RNAcentral's name for it is "bacterial LSU rRNA". It matches the Rfam family "Bacterial large subunit ribosomal RNA", at positions 1 to 1172 of the family's 2925-position model. Lineage: Bacteria; Bacillati; Bacillota; Clostridia; Peptostreptococcales; Peptostreptococcaceae. The record is from RNAcentral.